Molecule: transfer RNA, 74 nt
Filed under: Armatimonadota bacterium
Lineage: Bacteria; Bacillati; Armatimonadota
Also listed under: 1 other name
Description: Armatimonadetes bacterium (activated sludge metagenome) tRNA-Arg
Rfam family: tRNA
About the family: Transfer RNA (tRNA) molecules are approximately 80 nucleotides in length.
Source: RNAcentral
GCGCCCGUAGCUCAGCGGACCAGAGCACCUGGCUUCGGACCAGGGGGUCGGGGGUUCGAAUCCUCCCGGGCGUA